CAGGCCUAACACAUGCAAGUCGAACGAGGCAGCGGCCUUCGGGCCGUUGUCGAGUGGCGAACGGGUGAGUAACACGUGAGAAACCUGCCCCGGAGACCGGGACAACCAGGGGAAACCCUGGCUAAUACCGGAUGCCGUCGGAUGGUCGCAUGGCCGACCGAGGAAAUGCUCUGGUGCUCCGGGAGGGUCUCGCGGCCUAUCAGCUAGUUGGCGGGGUAACGGCCCACCAAGGCAUCGACGGGUAGCUGGUCUGAGAGGACGAUCAGCCACACUGGGACUGAGACACGGCCCAGACUCCUACGGGAGGCAGCAGUGGGGAAUAUUGCGCAAUGGGCGAAAGCCUGACGCAGCAACGCCGCGUGGGGGAUGAAUGCCUUCGGGUUGUAAACCCCUUUCAGCAGGGACGAAAAUGACGGUACCUGCAGAAGAAGCCCCGGCCAACUACGUGCCAGCAGCCGCGGUAACACGUAGGGGGCAAGCGUUGUCCGGAUUUAUUGGGCGUAAAGAGCUCGUAGGCAGUUGCGUAAGUCGGAUGUGAGAACUCAGGGCUCAACCCGGAGACGCCAUUCGAUACUGCGCUGACUAGAGUCCGGUAGGG
Molecule: ribosomal RNA, 598 nt
Filed under: uncultured bacterium
Lineage: Bacteria
Description: bacterial SSU rRNA
Rfam family: Bacterial small subunit ribosomal RNA
Source: RNAcentral